GGAAGGAUCAUUACCGAGUGCGGGCCCUCGCGGCCCAACCUCCCACCCUUGUCUCUAUACACCUGUUGCUUUGGCGGGCCCACCGGGGCCUCCUGGUCGCCGGGGGACGCUCGUCCCCGGGCCCGUGCCCGCCGAAGCGCUCUGUGAACCCUGAUGAAGAUGGGCUGUCUGAGUACUUUUGAAAAUUGUCAAAACUUUCAACAAUGGAUCUCUUGGUUCCGGCAUCGAUGAAGAACGCAGCGAAAUGCGAUAAGUAAUGUGAAUUGCAGAAUUCCGUGAAUCAUCGAAUCUUUGAACGCACAUUGCGCCCCCUGGCAUUCCGGGGGGCAUGCCUGUCCGAGCGUCAUUUCUGCCCUCAAGCACGGCUUGUGUGUUGGGUGUGGUCCCCCCGGGGACCUGCCCGAAAGGCAGCGGCGACGUCCGUCUGGUCCUCGAGCGUAUGGGGCUUUGUCACUCGCUCGGGAUGGACCUGCGGGGGUUGGUCACCACCAGAUUUUACCACGGUUGACCUCGGAUCAGGUAGGAGUUACCCGCUGAACUUAAGCAUAUCAAUAAGCGGAGGAAAAGAAACCAACCGGGAUUGCCUCAGUAACGGCGAGUGAAGCGGCAAGAGCUCAAAUUUGAAAUCUGGCCCCUUUGGGGUCCGAGUUGUAAUUUGCAGAGGAUGCUUCGGGUGCGGUCCCCGUCUAAGUGCCCUGGAACGGGCCGUCAUAGAGGGUGAGAAUCCCGUCUGGGAUGGGCGGCCGCGCCCGUGUGAAGCUCCUUCGACGAGUCGAGUUGUUUGGGAAUGCAGCUCUAAGCGGGUGGUAAAUUUCAUCUAAAGCUAAAUACUGGCCGGAGACCGAUAGCGCACAAGUAGAGUGAUCGAAAGAUGAAAAGCACUUUGAAAAGAGAGUUAAACAGCACGUGAAAUUGUUGAAAGGGAAGCGUUGUCCACCAGACUCGCCCGGGGGGGCUCAGCCGGCACGUGUGCCGGUGUACUCCUCUCCGGGCGGGCCAGCAUCGGUUUGGGCGGCUGGUGAAAGGCCCCGGGAAUGUAUCACCCUCCGGGGUGUCUUAUAGCCCGGGGUGCCAUGCAGCCAGCCUGGACCGAGGCCCGCGCUUCGGCGAGGAUGCUGGCGUAAUGGUGGUCAACGGCCCGUCUUGAAACACGGACCAAGGAGUCUAACAUCUAUGCGAGUGUUCGGGUGUCAAACCCGUCCGCGCAGUGAAAGCGAACGGAGGUGGGAGCCCCUCGGGGCGCACCAUCGACCGAUCCUGAUGUCUUCGGAUGGAUUUGAGUAAGAGCAUAGCUGUUGGGACCCGAAAGAUGGUGAACUAUGCCUGAAUAGGGCGAAGCCAGAGGAAACUCUGGUGGAGGCUCGCAGCGGUUCUGACGUGCAAAUCGAUCGUCAAAUUUGGGUAUAGGGGCGAAAGACUAAUCGAACCAUCUGGUAGCUGGUUCCUGC
RNAcentral lists this unclassified non-coding RNA (1448 nucleotides) under uncultured Eurotiales. Its description in RNAcentral is "sequence contains 18S rRNA gene, ITS1, 5.8S rRNA gene, ITS2, 28S rRNA gene". The stretch from base 506 to 1448 matches the Rfam family "Eukaryotic large subunit ribosomal RNA", at positions 1 to 961 of the family's 3401-position model. Lineage: Eukaryota; Fungi; Ascomycota; Eurotiomycetes; Eurotiales. The record is from RNAcentral.